GCCCAGGCGGGGGAAACCUUAUCGUGGGCCUGGACCGGAGAGGGGGAAACUCGAUCUUUGGGACUUUGAACAAGUAAAAUGAGAGAAGUUUGCUAAUAAAGCUAUCACCAAAGGUUAGAAACAAAAUCAAGUAGAAGAAAUGCUUAUAGUAUGGCAUGUGGGAACACCUCUACAGCAGAUAGUCUUGUGUUAGGGGCUAUCCAGAUUAUGAUUGGCAUUUUUCAUAUUUUCAUGUGGUAUUUCCUAUUGGUUUUGUAUAUGGGGCAAAUUAAAGGAGUCUUUGGGACAUAUGAACCUAUAACUUACAAAACAGGAUGUGCUUUUUGGGGAAUUUUUUAUAUUGUGUCAGGAGCUUCCACAAUAAGAUCAACACAGAAAUCGAGUCAAUACCUGACGAUAUUGGCUUUGGUCAUGAACAUCUUCUCUGUAAUUACUGCAUUUAUUGCACUAUGUCUAACAGUAUUUGAGUUGUCUACUUUUCAUACUGUGUCAUAUAGGAAUUAUGGACAAGUGUAUGUAGAGGAUCAUCAGUGGAAAUAAUUCAGAGAAUAGAAAACAAGACUGUAUGGCCGGGUACAGUGA
Molecule: long non-coding RNA, 582 nt
Filed under: Marmota monax (woodchuck)
Lineage: Eukaryota; Metazoa; Chordata; Mammalia; Rodentia; Sciuridae
Source: RNAcentral